This 622-nucleotide ribosomal RNA is filed under the name Entoloma percuboideum. RNAcentral describes it as "partial large subunit ribosomal RNA". It matches the Rfam family "Eukaryotic large subunit ribosomal RNA", at positions 53 to 658 of the family's 3401-position model. The record is from RNAcentral. Lineage: Eukaryota; Fungi; Basidiomycota; Agaricomycetes; Agaricales; Entolomataceae.
GAGGAAAAGAAACUAACAAGGAUUCCCCUAGUAACUGCGAGUGAAGCGGGAAAAGCUCAAAUUUAAAAUCUGGUAGUCUUUGGCUGCCCGAGUUGUAAUCUAGAGAAGUGCUAUCCGCGUUGGACCGUGUAUAAGUCUCCUGGAAUGGAGCGUCAUAGAGGGUGAGAAUCCCGUCUUUGACACGGACUACCAGGGCUUUGUGAUGYGCUCUCAAAGAGUCGAGUUGUUUGGGAAUGCAGCUCUAAAUGGGUGGUAAAUUCCAUCUAAAGCUAAAUAUUGGCGAGAGACCGAUAGCGAACAAGUACCGUGAGGGAAAGAUGAAAAGAACUUUGGAAAGAGAGUUAAACAGUACGUGAAAUUGUUGAAAGGGAAACGCUUGAAGUCAGUCGCAUUGGUCAGGGAUCAACCUUGCUUUUGCUUGGUGUACUUCCUGACUGAUGGGUCAGCAUCAAUUUUGACUGGUGGAUAAAGGUCGAGGAAAUGUGGCAUCUUUGGAUGUGUUAUAGUCUUCGGUCAUAUACAUCAGUUGGGAUUGAGGAACUCAGCAUGCCGCAAGGCCAGGGUUUUACCCAUGUACGUGCUUAGGAUGUUGGCAUAAUGGCUUUAAUCGACCCGUCUUGAA